This 582-nucleotide ribosomal RNA is filed under the name uncultured bacterium. Its description in RNAcentral is "partial 16S ribosomal RNA". It matches the Rfam family "Bacterial small subunit ribosomal RNA", at positions 355 to 926 of the family's 1533-position model. The record is from RNAcentral.
UGGGGAAUAUUGCACAAUGGGCGCAAGCCUGAUGCAGCCAUGCCGCGUGUGUGAAGAAGGCCUUCGGGUUGUAAAGCACUUUCAGCGAGGAGGAAGGUGGUGAGCUUAAUACGCUCAUCAAUUGACGUUACUCGCAGAAGAAGCACCGGCUAACUCCGUGCCAGCAGCCGCGGUAAUACGGAGGGUGCAAGCGUUAAUCGGAAUUACUGGGCGUAAAGCGCACGCAGGCGGUUUGUUAAGUCAGAUGUGAAAUCCCCGGGCUCAACCUGGGAACUGCAUUUGAAACUGGCAAGCUAGAGUCUCGUAGAGGGGGGUAGAAUUCCAGGUGUAGCGGUGAAAUGCGUAGAGAUCUGGAGGAAUACCGGUGGCGAAGGCGGCCCCCUGGACGAAGACUGACGCUCAGGUGCGAAAGCGUGGGGCAGCAAACAGGAUUAGAUACCCUGGUAGUCCACGCUGUAAAACGAUGUCGAUUUUGGAGGUUGUGCCCUUGAGGCGUGGCUUCCGGAGCUAACGCGUUAAAUCGACCGCCUGGGGAGUACGGCCGCAAGGUUAAAACUCAAAUGAAUUGACGGGGUCAUAGCU